Molecule: non-coding RNA, 117 nt
Organism: Chelonoidis abingdonii (Abingdon island giant tortoise)
Lineage: Eukaryota; Metazoa; Chordata; Testudines; Testudinidae
Source: RefSeq, a predicted model, not a curated record
CAGCUACAAAAUCUCAAUGGGAAAUUCUUAAAACUACAGCACCCACCUGCUAAAGUGAAAAAACAGAUUGACAGAGCCAGAAGAGUACCCAGAAAUUACCUACUACAGGACAGGUCC